Molecule: microRNA precursor, 64 nt
Filed under: Bombyx mori (domestic silkworm)
Lineage: Eukaryota; Metazoa; Arthropoda; Insecta; Lepidoptera; Bombycidae
Description: mir-2807 microRNA precursor family
Rfam family: mir-2807 microRNA precursor family
Source: Rfam by way of RNAcentral
UUAACUCAAAUUUGUAGGCAGUUGGAACGGUUGCCGCUGUUCCAAUCCAUACAAAUUUGAGUUA